Long non-coding RNA from Talpa occidentalis (Iberian mole), 343 nucleotides. RefSeq lists it as uncharacterized. The record is from RefSeq and is a predicted model, not a curated record. Lineage: Eukaryota; Metazoa; Chordata; Mammalia; Eulipotyphla; Talpidae. The transcript has 3 exons.
CCACAUGCAAAGAUUCCAACUUUAUAACCUCCAUGUGGGCUUUAACAGUAUUUUCCUAAAAGUGAUUUGGAUGUCUCCUCUUUCGUGCAAGGCGCCAGGACCUGUUUUGUACAUGUCACUUAUAAUGGAAUGCAGAAGAGCUGUAGGAUGCAGAAUGCUGCUCGAUGCAGGAUCCUGGCCUUUUUAUUGAUAGAAAAAGGAAGAGGACACUGGAACACAGACACACACAUGAAGACCUGGGGAGAAGACAGCCAUCUAUAAGCCAAGGAGAAAGACCUCAAAAGAAGCCAAUUUUGAUCUCCAGAAAAUAAAGUUCUGUUGUUUAAGCCACUCAGUCUGUGAU